RNAcentral lists this ribosomal RNA (279 nucleotides) under uncultured bacterium. RNAcentral's name for it is "partial 16S ribosomal RNA". It matches the Rfam family "Bacterial small subunit ribosomal RNA", at positions 506 to 784 of the family's 1533-position model. The record is from RNAcentral.
UGCCAGCAGCCGCGGUAAUACGUAGGCUCCCAGCGUUGUUCGGAAUUACUGGGCGUAAAGCGAGUGUAGGCGGUCCGUCAAGUUGGUUGUGAAAUCUCCUGGCUCAACUGGGAGGGUGCAAUCAAAACUGACGGACUAGAGUCUGGGAGAGGAGAGUGGAAUUCCUGGUGUAGCGGUGAAAUGCGUAGAUAUCAGGAGGAACACCGGUGGUGAAGACGGCUCUCUGGACCGGUACUGACGCUGAGACUCGAAAGCUUGGGGAGCAAACAGGAUUAGAUA